CAUUCCCUACAAAAUGAAUGCUUCAUCUCCCAGCAUGCUAGGCACCUAAGGCAGACCACCAGCGGGGGUGGGGGGUGGGGCACCCACUAGAGAGACAACUUUCUGUGAUGGUUUCCAAAGUGGCACGUCCUUCCUUCCUGUUCUCUUGCAGACCCAAGGAAGGGAGACACAAUGCUAGCUUGGGUUCCCAUAGGAUCGAGCAAGGGAGAGAGGUGUUCCACCAGAGAUGCAAAUGAGGAAGGUAAUUAAGACAAGAUGCCCAUGUGCCUGGAAUAGCAUUAGCAAGCGGCUGCCAUUAGCCCCACACAAAGAGAGGAGAUGAAUUGCCUGGACUGCACCUCUGUAUUUCCUGAAGCUAUCGUGUACUUGAACCACAGAACAUGGAGAAAUCAAGCUGCACUGGCCCUGAGGCUCCACCCUUACUGGCUGGCUUUCAGAAGGCGCUACGACGCAUGACGCUACCGGGGAGACAGGUCAUCGUCAGUCAGACUCCGACGUGAGCCCUGUGAACUACGAAGUGACUAGCCUGACAGGAUAUGUCUAUUGGUACAAUGGUGGCAUUAAUGUUAUGGCAGCCACUUUAAGAAUGGAAUUAAGGCCUGCACUAAGAGAUGGGACCCAUCUCUGGCACCAUUAACCAGUCAUGUGAUCUGCCGGGAAUUCCCAGCCUGACAACUGCCUGGCCAUUCCACUGUGUGGGAGACAUUACUCCCAUUAUACUUACAAGGUGCUGUUUUCCUGAUUGACUGCUGUUCGCCUCUACUUUGUACACACUGACUGAGAUAGCUUACAAAGGCCUGAGGUAGAUCGUGGAUGCCACCAGCAAGAAAAUAACCUUGGGGAGAUUACAGUAAACACUGGAGAACCCAGAAGAAAAGCGAAUGUCUAGAUGUUAAAGGUGAAGGUGUUAUACAGGGUACACAGACUUCAAAAAAAGCUCUCGGGUUAGGGAGAUGGCUCGGUCAGUAAGUGUUUACAGCUCAACUGUGAGUUUGAUUCCUGAAAUCCACAUAAAAGGCCAGGUACCGUGACACGCAUUAUGUAAUUCCAGUUCUGGGGAGGCAGAGACAGGCCGAUGCCUGGGUCUGUCUGGCUAGGCAGGCUAAUAAUGGGUGAGCCCCAGAUCCAAGAGAGAGACACUGAACCCUCCCCUCCUUACCCCCCCCCAAAAAAAAACCCCAGGAUAAACAGAACCUGAGGUUGAUCUCUAGCCUAGACAUGCACGUGGACUUCCACGCAACAAGCUGUGCACCUCUUUACACAACGAAGUGUUAGUGGCCACCAUAUGCAAAACAGAAAAAAAAAA
This is a long non-coding RNA of Mus musculus (house mouse), 1306 nucleotides long. RefSeq annotates it as predicted gene, 51927. The record is from RefSeq and is a predicted model, not a curated record. The transcript has 3 exons. NCBI's taxonomy places the organism in Eukaryota, Metazoa, Chordata, Mammalia, Rodentia, Muridae.